Molecule: ribosomal RNA, 466 nt
Filed under: uncultured bacterium
Lineage: Bacteria
Description: bacterial SSU rRNA
Rfam family: Bacterial small subunit ribosomal RNA
Source: RNAcentral
UACCAGACUCCUACGGGAGGCAGCAGUGAGGAAUAUUGGUCAAUGGCCGAGAGGCUGAACCAGCCAAGUCGCGUGAGGGAAGAAUGUCCUAAGGAUUGUAAACCUCUUUUGUCGGGGAGCAAAAAGGCUCUGCGGAGUCGUAUUGAGAGUACCCGAAGAAAAAGCAUCGGCUAACUCCGUGCCAGCAGCCGCGGUAAUACGGAGGAUGCGAGCGUUAUCCGGAUUUAUUGGGUUUAAAGGGUGCGCAGGCGGCUGAGUAAGACAGAUGUGAAAUCCCCGGGCUUAACCUGGGAACCGCAUAUGUGACUGCUUGGCUAGAGUGCGGCAGAGGGAGGUGGAAUUCCACGUGUAGCAGUGAAAUGCGUAGAUAUGUGGAAGAACACCGAUGGCGAAGGCAGCCUCCUGGGACGCAACUGACGCUCAUACACGAAAGCGUGGGGAGCAAACAGGAUGAGAUACCCCUGUA